Molecule: ribosomal RNA, 616 nt
Filed under: Firmicutes bacterium enrichment culture clone MLSB6m7B
Lineage: Bacteria; Bacillati; Bacillota
Description: bacterial SSU rRNA
Rfam family: Bacterial small subunit ribosomal RNA
Source: RNAcentral
AACGGAGUUAUAGCAAUAUUGACUUAGUGGCGAACGGGUGAGUAACGCGUUGGUGAUCUGCCUCGAAGUGUGGAAUAACGUUCCGAAAGGAACGCUAAUACCGCAUGUGCUCUCGAUUUUUAGAAACUUGAGAGUAAAGGAUUUAUUCGCUUCGAGAGGAGCCUGCGUCCCAUCAGCUGGUUGGUAGGGUAACGGCCUACCAAGGCUAUGACGGGUAGGGGACCCGAGAGGGUGGCCCCCCACAAUGGAACUGAAACACGGUCCAUACACCUACGGGUGGCAGCAGUAGGGAAUAUUAGAAAUGGACGAAAGUCUGAUCUAGCAACACCGCGUGUGCGAAGAAGGCCUUCGGGUCGUAAAGCACUUUUUGGAAGGAAUAGGAAGGAAUGUACUUCCAGAAUAAGUCUCGGCUAACUACGUGCCAGCAGCCGCGGUAACACGUAGGAGGCGAACGUUAUCCGGAUUUACUGGGCGUAAAGCGCGUGUAGGUGGUACUGUAAGUAGGGCGUGAAAGCUCCCGGCUCAACUGGGAGAGGCCGUUCUAAACUACANAACUAGAGGAUGGUAGAGGGAGGUGGAAUUCCAGGUGUAGCGGUGGAAUGCGCAAAUAUCUGGA